UCUUCCCCUAGAGGCUUUGCAGUUGUGGCUUCAGUAUGACAUGUACAUCAGUGGGUAGAAGAGAAGAGAGAGGCUAUGUCUACGCUAAGUGUUCCAAACUAUAAAUAUCUGAAUGAUUAGUAGCCUAACACU
Rattus rattus (black rat) is the source of this 132-nucleotide small nucleolar RNA. RefSeq annotates it as small nucleolar RNA SNORA17. The transcript has a single exon. NCBI's taxonomy places the organism in Eukaryota, Metazoa, Chordata, Mammalia, Rodentia, Muridae. The record is from RefSeq and is a predicted model, not a curated record.